UUAAUUGUCUGUUCAGCCUACACACGAGCCAGAUCAGCAGGCUGGUCUGAGGCCUCUACUUGAAAUGAAAGUUCCAGAAAUAUUUGAUUAACUUCAAACUAAGGGCAUUGUGACAGAGAAGACCAGAAUAAAAACUUAUUAAAAUUUGCAUCUCUGACUUGGUGGAGAAGCAUGGAUUUUAUCCGUCCACUUCUGAAAAGGUGGUUCUUGCAAAGAACAUCAUCACCAUCUUCCCAUUGCUUAAAG
Long non-coding RNA from Etheostoma spectabile (orangethroat darter), 246 nucleotides. RefSeq lists it as uncharacterized. The transcript has 4 exons. NCBI's taxonomy places the organism in Eukaryota, Metazoa, Chordata, Actinopteri, Perciformes, Percidae. The record is from RefSeq and is a predicted model, not a curated record.